CCUACGUGUGGCAGCAGUGGGGAAUAUUGCACAAUGGGCGAAACCCUGAUGCAGCAACGCCGCGUGAGUGAGGAAGUAUUUCGGUAUGUAAAGCUCUAUCAGCAGGGAAUAGCAAAGAAGGUACCUGAAAAAGAAGCCCCGGCUAACUACGUGCCAGCAGCCGCGGUAAUACGGAGGGGGCAGGCGUUAUCCGGAUUUAAUGGGUGGAAAGGGAGCGUAGACGGAAAGGCAAGUCAGAAGUGAAAACCAAAGGCUCAACCAUGGUACUGCUUUGGAAACUGUCAAACUAGAGUACGGGAGAGGUAAGAGGAAUUCCUGGUGUAGCGGUGAAAUGCGUAGAUAUUAGGAGGAACACCAGUGGCGAAGGCGUCUUACUGGACCGAAACUGACGUUGAGGCACGAAAGCGUGGGGAGCAAACAGGAUUAGAUACCCUAGUAGUC
Molecule: ribosomal RNA, 441 nt
Filed under: uncultured bacterium
Lineage: Bacteria
Description: partial 16S ribosomal RNA
Rfam family: Bacterial small subunit ribosomal RNA
Source: RNAcentral